This 468-nucleotide ribosomal RNA is filed under the name uncultured bacterium. RNAcentral's name for it is "partial 16S ribosomal RNA". It matches the Rfam family "Bacterial small subunit ribosomal RNA", at positions 28 to 507 of the family's 1533-position model. The record is from RNAcentral.
GACGAACGCUGGCGGCGUGCUUAACACAUGCAAGUCGAACGGAAAGGCCCUGCUUUUGUUGGGUUCUCGAGUGGCGAACGGGUGUGUAACACGUGAGUAACCUGCCCUUGACUUUGUGAUAACUUCACGAAACUGGGGCUCAUACCGGAUAGGAGCUCCUGCUGCAUGUUGUGGGUUUGAAAGUUUCGGCGGUUGGGGAUGGACUCGCGGCUUAUCAGCUUGUUGGUGGGGUAGUGGCUUACCAAGGCUUUGACGGGUAGCCGGCCUGAGAGGGUGAACGGCGACAAUGGGACUGAGAUAGGGCGCAGAAGGCAACGGGAGGCAGCAGUGGGGAAUAUUGCAGAAUGGGAGGAAGCCUGAGGAAGAAACGCCGGGAGCGGGAUGACGGCCUUCGGGUUGAAAACCGAUUUCGCAUGUGACGAAGCGUGAGUGACGGUAAUGGGUAAAGAAGCACCGGCUAACUAUGUG